Molecule: ribosomal RNA, 1457 nt
Filed under: uncultured bacterium
Lineage: Bacteria
Description: bacterial SSU rRNA
Rfam family: Bacterial small subunit ribosomal RNA
Source: RNAcentral
AGAGUUUGAUCCUGGCUCAGGAUGAACGCUAGCGGCAGGCCUAAUACAUGCAAGUCGAACGGUAGAUUACUUUCGGGUAAUUGAGAGUGGCGCACGGGUGCGUAACGCGUAUGCAACCUACCCUAUACAGGGGGAUAGCCCGGAGAAAUCUGGAUUAAUACCCCAUAGUACUAUGAUGAGGCAUUUUGUUAUAGUUAAAGAUUCAUCGGUAUAGGAUGGGCAUGCGUCUGAUUAGCUAGUUGGCGGUGUAACGGACCACCAAGGCGACGAUCAGUAGGGGUUCUGAGAGGAAGGUCCCCCACACUGGCACUGAGAUACGGGCCAGACUCCUACGGGAGGCAGCAGUAGGGAAUAUUGGGCAAUGGACGAGAGUCUGACCCAGCCAUGCCGCGUGCAGGAAGACGGCGUUCUGCGUUGUAAACUGCUUUUAUCUGGGAAGAAAAGGCCCAUGCGUGGGACAUUGCCGGUACCAGAUGAAUAAGCACCGGCUAACUCCGUGCCAGCAGCCGCGGUAAUACGGAGGGUGCAAGCGUUGUCCGGAUUUAUUGGGUUUAAAGGGUGCGUACGCGGCUAUUUAAGUCAGUGGUGAAAGACCUCCGGGCUCAACUUUUGGAAUUUGGAUUGGUUGGUAAGCCGUUGAAAUGCAUAAGGAUACCAUCAGGGAACACCCGAUAGCGAAAGGGCAUUGUACUGGGCCAAAUAACCUGACGCUGAUGCACGAAAGCAUGGGGAGCGAACAGGAUUAGAUACCCUGGUAGUCCAUGCCGUAAACGAUGAUUACUCGCUGUUAUGGCUUUAUGUUGUAGCGGCCAAGCGAAAGCGUUAAGUAAUCCACCUGGGGAGUACGCCCGCAAGGGUGAAACUCAAAGGAAUUGACGGGGGUCCGCACAAGCGGUGGAGCGUGUGGUUUAAUUCGAUGAUACGCGAGGAACCUUACCUGGGCUAGAAUGUGAGGGAAUGAUCUGGAGACAGAUCAGUCAGCAAUGACCCGAAACAAGGUGCUGCAUGGCCGUCGUCAGCUCGUGCCGUGAGGUGUUGGGUUAAGUCCCGCAACGAGCGCAACCCCUAUGUUUAGUUGCCGGCACGUAAAGGUGGGGACUCUAGACAGACUGCCUGCGCAAGCAGAGAGGAAGGAGGGGACGACGUCAGGUCAUCAUGGCCCUUACGCCCAGGGCGACGCACGUGCUACAAUGGCGCAUACAGCGGGUCGCGAGCCGGUAACGGUCAGCCAACCUCUAAAAGUGCGUCUCAGUUCGGAUCGGGGUCUGCAACUCGACCCCGUGAAGCUGGAAUCGCUAGUAAUCGCGCAUCAGCCAUGGCGCGGUGAAUACGUUCCCGGACCUUGUACACACCGCCCGUCAAGCCAUGGAAGUCGGGUAGACCUGAAGACAGUAACCGAAAGGAGCUGUUUAGGGUAGAACCGGUAACUGGGGCUAAGUCGUAACAAGGUAGCCGUA